RNAcentral lists this ribosomal RNA (289 nucleotides) under uncultured bacterium. RNAcentral describes it as "partial 16S ribosomal RNA". The record is from RNAcentral.
CUACCCGGGUAUCUAAUCCUGUUUGCUCCCCUUGCUCUCGCGCCUCAGCGUCAGGUACUAACUAGAAAACCGCUUUCGCCACUGGUGUUCUUCCACAUAUCUACGCAUUUCACCGCUACACGUGGAAUUCCGUUUUCUCCGUCAACCCUCUAGAAUGAUAGUUUCAAAUGCAGCUCCAGAGUUGAGCUCUGGAAUUUCACAUCUGACUUAUCGUCCCGCCUACGCGCCCUUUACGCCCAAUAAUUCCGAUUAAUGCUUGCACUCUCCGUAUUACCGCGGCUGCUGGCAC